UUUACGAGUUGUGCAGGCCUGCUGACGGCAUUCGCGGGGCUUCUUGCUCGUGUGGAUUCUCUGAUGCUGAAUAAGGUGAGAGCUGCGAUUGAAGGUUUUCCCGCACUCACUGCAUUCAUAGGACCCCUCCUGUGUGUGGAUUCUCUGAUGCUGAAUAAGGUGAGAGCUGCGAUUGAAGGUUUUCCCGCACUCACUGCAUUCAUAGGACCCCUCCUGUGUGUGGAUUCUCUGAUGCCGAAUAAGGUGUGAGCUGCGACUGAAAGUUUUCCCGCACUCACUGCAUUCAUAGGACCCCUCCUGUGUGUGGAUUCUCUGAUGCCGAAUAAGGUGUGAGCUGCAACUGAAAGUUUUCCCGCACUCACUGCAUUCAGAAGGGAGAGGAUAGCUCAGUGGUUUGAGCAUUGGCCUACUAAACCCAGGGUUGUAAGUUCAAUCCUUGAGGGAACCAUUUGGGAAUUGGUUCUGCUUUGAGCAGGGGGUUG
This is a long non-coding RNA of Gopherus flavomarginatus (Mexican gopher tortoise), 482 nucleotides long. RefSeq lists it as uncharacterized. The transcript is spliced from 3 exons. Lineage: Eukaryota; Metazoa; Chordata; Testudines; Testudinidae. The record is from RefSeq and is a predicted model, not a curated record.